UCCGGCUUAUCACCGGCGGUUUCUUUAGAGUGCCCAACUAAAUGAUGGCAACUAAAGACGAGGGUUGCGCUCGUUGCGGGACUUAACCCAACAUCUCACGACACGAGCUGACGACGGCCAUGCAGCACCUGUGUUCCGGCUCUCUUUCGAGCACUCCCAAAUCUCUUCGGGAUUCCAGACAUGUCAAGGGUAGGUAAGGUUUUUCGCGUUGCAUCGAAUUAAACCACAUCAUCCACCGCUUGUGCGGGUCCCCGUCAAUUUCUUUGAGUUUCAACCUUGCGGCCGUACUCCCCAGGCGGUGUGCUUACCGCGUUAGCUCCGGCACCGAGGGGCAAGCCCCCCGACGCCCAGCACACAUCGUUUAGGGCGUGGACUAC
Molecule: unclassified non-coding RNA, 377 nt
Filed under: uncultured Gammaproteobacteria bacterium
Lineage: Bacteria; Pseudomonadati; Pseudomonadota; Gammaproteobacteria
Description: contains 16S-23S intergenic spacer region
Source: RNAcentral